CAACUCUUCCGAAACCUGUAUUAAACAAAGCACUUUAGAACAAUAGUAAUUUAUUUUGUUUCUCCUAUUUCAUUCCUAGUUGUUCUGAAAAAAAAAAUAUAUUGUUUAAGUGGGAUAACUGUAUGGAGGUUCCAACAUGUAUUAAAACAUGAUCACACACCGACAGAACUGGUGGCUUUUUGGACAUCGGGAUCUAUAAAAGGUUUCGGUUUCCAAAGAUGUUAUCAGGGUCCACAAAACUGACAGACUUCAGCAUUCCAAUUUUAUUAAAGUAAUUAAUUGAGAUUAUCAAAUCAAGGUUUAAGAUUAGGAACAG
Molecule: non-coding RNA, 316 nt
Organism: Pelobates cultripes (western spadefoot toad)
Lineage: Eukaryota; Metazoa; Chordata; Amphibia; Anura; Pelobatidae
Source: the annotation of a GenBank genome assembly